RNAcentral lists this ribosomal RNA (440 nucleotides) under uncultured Duganella sp. Its description in RNAcentral is "bacterial SSU rRNA". It matches the Rfam family "Bacterial small subunit ribosomal RNA", at positions 358 to 790 of the family's 1533-position model. Lineage: Bacteria; Pseudomonadati; Pseudomonadota; Betaproteobacteria; Burkholderiales; Oxalobacteraceae. The record is from RNAcentral.
GGAAUUUUGGACAAUGGGCGCAAGCCUGAUCCAGCAAUGCCGCGUGAGUGAAGAAGGCCUUCGGGUUGUAAAGCUCUUUUGUCAGGGAAGAAACGGACUUUUCUAAUACAGAGGUCUAAUGACGGUACCUGAAGAAUAAGCACCGGCUAACUACGUGCCAGCAGCCGCGGUAAUACGUAGGGUGCAAGCGUUAAUCGGAAUUACUGGGCGUAAAGCGUGCGCAGGCGGUUUUGUAAGACUGUCGUGAAAUCCCCGGGCUCAACCUGGGAAUGGCGAUGGUGACUGCAAGGCUAGAGUUUGGCAGAGGGGGGUAGAAUUCCACGUGUAGCAGUGAAAUGCGUAGAUAUGUGGAGGAACACCGAUGGCGAAGGCAGCCCCCUGGGUCAAAACUGACGCUCAUGCACGAAAGCGUGGGGAGCAAACAGGAUUAGAUACCCUUG